AGCGAACGUUAGCGGCGGGCCUAACACAUGCAAGUCGAACGCGAAAGGUCUUCGGACUGAGUAGAGUGGCGCACGGGUGAGUAACACGUAGGUAAUCUACCCUUUGGCGGGGGAUAACGUUCCGAAAGGAGCGCUAAUACCGCAUAAGACCACGGAGUCUCCGGACGCUGUGGGAAAAGGUGGCCUCUUCUUGAAAGCUAUCACCGAAGGAUGAGCCUGCGUCCCAUCAGCUAGUUGGUAAGGUAAUGGCUUACCAAGGCGAAGACGGGUAGCUGGUUUGAGAGAAUGAUCAGCCACACUGGCACUAGAACACGGGCCAGACUCCUACGGGAGGCAGCAGUGAGGAAUAUUGGGCAAUGGGCGAAAGCCUGACCCAGCCACGCCGCGUGAGUGAUGAAGGCCCUCGGGUCGUAAAGCUCUGUGGAGAGGGACGAAAACCCUGGUUUCAAAUAGGCUCCAGGCUUGACGGUACCUCUUUAGCAAGCACCGGCUAACUCUGUGCCAG
RNAcentral lists this ribosomal RNA (505 nucleotides) under uncultured bacterium. Its description in RNAcentral is "bacterial SSU rRNA". It matches the Rfam family "Bacterial small subunit ribosomal RNA", at positions 29 to 511 of the family's 1533-position model. The record is from RNAcentral.